This 1456-nucleotide long non-coding RNA is filed under the name Oryctolagus cuniculus (rabbit). RNAcentral's name for it is "lncRNA (ENSOCUG00000030382.1)". Lineage: Eukaryota; Metazoa; Chordata; Mammalia; Lagomorpha; Leporidae. The record is from RNAcentral.
AUGCGGCUGGAGUGCGUCUGCGGAGCCUUAAAGGAGAAGCCUCAGGCUCCUGCCGCGGCUUCUCCACAAGGUGGUGAGGGCUCGUCUCCAGGUGCUCUCCUCCAGCCUGAAGCCCAGGCAGAGCUGCCUUCAGGGCCUGGGCCUUUGCGGCCCACUCGGUGCUGGCGGUCCCACCGCGGGAGCUGGCCACUGCGAGGCAGCGGGUGGAGACUGUGGGAGGCUGCUGCUCUCAGCCUCCUUAUCCAAGGCUUCGUCCAGGAGUUUGCAGAGGUUCCCAAACUUCUCCUUGCUCUCUUGCAUUUUCUUCUCUUCCUCCUCCUCCUCCUCAUCGGGCAGCUCCAGGCUCUGAUGGGCAGGGUAUGCAAAGGACCGAGUUCUGGGUCAGGGACUAUUAUCAAAAUCCGUGCAGCAAUCCUCGGGCGCAGCCAUUCUCACCUCUGUUUUAUCGGAAGAUGAAAUGACUCACGACGGCUCGUGUCUCCUAAGAGGAAGAUCAAGGAUUUAAAGCCAGAUAUCUCAUUCCAAAGCCAGCUCUGAGCCACUGGGCAGACGUUUGUAACCACGGGGGAGAUUAAUUAUCGACCAGGUUUUCAUGUCUCCACAAAUGUGGCUGGAAAAUACGCUUCAGUUGCCUUGUGGCUAAAGGUAGGAAAACACCCACCCCGCUGCUGCCUGGCAGAGGGGGGUGCCCACGUGCUGUUUGUACAGAAGAAGCGCCUGGUCAGCGGGGCUUCCUUUCCCUGGCUUGGGAGCCCUGGUCACCAGCGUCUCUGCCCUCUCUGGACUCCAGCAUGCUGGUAGGUCGGCCCUGGAAGUCCCUUGCUAAUCCCCGACUUCGGAGGAGGGUCUUGAAUGUAGCCAAAGACUCCAACAACUGACAGGUCAUUCACUCCCUCAUUGUCUCUCAGAAAAGAGAGAUUGACUUCCCAUUCAAGUCCUUGCUAAAUCUGUCGUGUUAUAAGACUUUGUCUCAGUCACUUAAUUGUGACCCACAAAGCACUCUUUGGGAAUGACCUAUUAGUCCAAAAUAACUUCAGCCAGUGCUGUGCUUUACGUCCUCACAAGGUCACUUACUGGAGCAAAAAUGGAGACAAAAACACUAAGCACCGACUUAGACAUUUUUCCUGAUAAUUGCAAGUGUUGGAUGUUGUAAACAAGCCCUUUAAAGAUCCCUUUAAAAAACAAUACACUAAGUGGUUAGUUCACAGAGCUCAUGAAUAGAGAAUGGGUACUUGGGACUAGGAGUGUAAUUUCCAGUGACAGCAGCAUCUCCAGAUGCAAAACAUCCUGUAUCUUAAGUGGCUUCGAUGGCAGCAAAGCUGAUGCACUCUGGAAAGCUGUGCUAGACGACUUGAGAAGCGGCACUCGUGAUGACAAAGACGCCCGUGUUCAAGAUGGAUGUGAAGAGUGAGUAGAGUUGGUUCAUGAAUUAAAUGUGGACAUAGAAAGAGGCAGU